This 478-nucleotide ribosomal RNA is filed under the name uncultured bacterium. Its description in RNAcentral is "bacterial SSU rRNA". It matches the Rfam family "Bacterial small subunit ribosomal RNA", at positions 364 to 832 of the family's 1533-position model. The record is from RNAcentral.
UUUCGCAAUGCCCGAAAGGGUGACGAAGCGACGCCGCGUGGGUGAGGAAGGCCUUCGGGUUGUAAAGCCCUGUCAGGAGUUAAGAAAUGUAAGUGCGCUAAUAUCGCAUUUAUUUGACGAAGGCUCCAAAGGAAGUCACGGCUAACUCUGUGCCAGCAGCCGCGGUAAUACAGAGGUGGCAAGCGUUGUCCGGAAUUAUUGGGCGUAAAGAGCACGUAGGUGGGUUUGUAAGUCAGAUGUGAAAGCCUUCUGUUCAACGGAAGAAUUGCAUCUGAAACUGCGAGUCUUGAGUGUAGGAGGGGAGAAUGGAACUUCUGGUGGAGCGGUGAAAUGCGUAGAUAUCAGAAGGAACGCCGGCGGCGAAAGCGAUUCUCUGGCCUAUUACUGACACUCAGUGUGCGAAAGCUAGGGGAGCAAACGGGAUUAGAUACCCCGGUAGUCCUAGCCGUAAACGAUGGGCACUAAGUAGAGGGGUUUU